This 301-nucleotide ribosomal RNA is filed under the name uncultured bacterium. Its description in RNAcentral is "partial 16S ribosomal RNA". It matches the Rfam family "Bacterial small subunit ribosomal RNA", at positions 509 to 807 of the family's 1533-position model. The record is from RNAcentral.
CAGCAGCCGCGGUAAUACGAGGGGGGCAAGCGUUGUUCGGAAUUAUUGGGCGUAAAGGGUGCGUAGGCGGUUUGAUAAGUCUGUUGUGAAAGCCCCGGGCUCAACCUGGGAAUGGCAAUGGAUACUGGCGAGCUAGAGUGUGUCAGAGGAUGGUGGAAUUCCCGGUGUAGCGGUGAAAUGCGUAGAGAUCGGGAGGAACAACAGUGGCGAAGGCGGCCAUCUGGGACAACACUGACGCUGAGGCACGAAAGCGUGGGGAGCAAACAGGAUUAGAUACCCGAGUAGUCCCUGUCUCUUAUAC